Molecule: regulatory RNA element, 31 nt
Organism: Zhouia amylolytica AD3
Lineage: Bacteria; Pseudomonadati; Bacteroidota; Flavobacteriia; Flavobacteriales; Flavobacteriaceae
Rfam family: S4-Flavobacteria ribosomal protein leader
Source: Rfam
GAUUAUCGAAGGAUUGCCUUAAUUCAUAAUC